RNAcentral lists this ribosomal RNA (254 nucleotides) under uncultured bacterium. Its description in RNAcentral is "partial 16S ribosomal RNA". It matches the Rfam family "Bacterial small subunit ribosomal RNA", at positions 524 to 776 of the family's 1533-position model. The record is from RNAcentral.
UACGGGGGGAGCAAGCGUUGUUCGGAUUUACUGGGCGUAAAGGGCGCGUAGGCGGCCGCUGCAAGUCAGUUGUGAAAUCUCCGGGCUUAACUCGGAAAGGUCAACUGAUACUGCAGGGCUAGAGUGCAGAAGGGGCAACUGGAAUUCUCGGUGUAGCGGUGAAAUGCGUAGAUAUCGAGAGGAACACCUAUAGCGAAGGCAGCUUACUAGGCUGUAACUGACGCUGAGGCACGAAAGUGUGGGGAUCAAACAGG